UACGGAGGGGGCUAGCGUUGUUCGGAAUUACUGGGCGUAAAGCGCACGUAGGCGGACUGUUAAGUCGGGGGUGAAAUCCUGGGGCUCAACCUCAGAAUUGCCUCCGAUACUGGCAGUCUCGAGUGCGGGAGAGGUGAGUGGAAUUCCCAGUGUAGAGGUGAAAUUCGUAGAUAUUGGGAAGAACACCAGUGGCGAAGGCGGCUCACUGGUCCGAUACUGACGCUGAGGUGCGAAAGCGUGGGGAGCAAACAGG
This 253-nucleotide ribosomal RNA is filed under the name uncultured bacterium. Its description in RNAcentral is "partial 16S ribosomal RNA". It matches the Rfam family "Bacterial small subunit ribosomal RNA", at positions 524 to 776 of the family's 1533-position model. The record is from RNAcentral.